This is a non-coding RNA of Caenorhabditis elegans, 193 nucleotides long. Lineage: Eukaryota; Metazoa; Nematoda; Chromadorea; Rhabditida; Rhabditidae. The record is from Ensembl.
AGACUGAGAGAAAAAGGUGCCAAAAACAAACCGUUCACACUUUACUAACUCCGAGACUGUGAUAGUGAAAUUGAAAGAUAAAGCAAAAGAGAAGAAGAAGAAGAUGGGAUAGAAUGAAAUAGCAGCUAACACUUCCCACUCAUUGCUGUUCGCUUUUGCAGUAGAGAAAAGUAGGAAAAACGUUUUUGAGCGU